RNAcentral lists this ribosomal RNA (253 nucleotides) under uncultured bacterium. RNAcentral's name for it is "partial 16S ribosomal RNA". It matches the Rfam family "Bacterial small subunit ribosomal RNA", at positions 524 to 776 of the family's 1533-position model. The record is from RNAcentral.
GACAGAGGGUGCAAACGUUGUUCGGAAUUACUGGGCGUAAAGCGCAUGUAGGCGGCCGCGUAGGUCGGAUGUGAAAUCCCUCGGCUCAACCGAGGACGUGCAUUCGAAACCCCGCGGCUCGAGUCCCGGAGAGGGUGGUGGAAUUCUCGGCGUAGAGGUGAAAUUCGUAGAUUUCGGGAGGAACACCGGCGGCGAAAGCGGCCACCUGGACGAGGACUGACGCUGAGAUGCGAAAGCGUGGGGAGCAAACAGG